AUGGAAGCAAAGAAAAAUGUCAACAUUGUCAACCUAUACCCCACCUUCACUAAUAUUGUGGAUAAUGCGCCAGGCCAAGGACAAGAGCUAUCCAAGCAAUUCAAGCGCAAGUUGUCGCCGUGCUGUGAGAGUUUUGAUUCAAAAGGUUACUGCAGACAACAGAGCGAGUCAUCGGAGCUUCUUUACCGUGUGGUAGUGAUGAAGCAGCUGGAAAAGCCCUCGAGGGAGUUUGUACAUCAAGACUAG
Molecule: ribosomal RNA, 246 nt
Filed under: Triticum aestivum (bread wheat)
Lineage: Eukaryota; Viridiplantae; Streptophyta; Magnoliopsida; Poales; Poaceae
Description: partial small subunit ribosomal RNA
Source: RNAcentral